GUGGGGAAUAUUGGACAAUGGGGGCAACCCUGAUCCAGCAAUGCCGCGUGUGUGAAGAAGGCCUGCGGGUUGUAAAGCACUUUCGGUGGGGACAAAAAGCGUUGCACUAACACUGCAAUGUUUGAUUUAACCCAUAGAAGAAGCACCGGCUAACUCUGUGCCAGCAGCCGCGGUAAUACAGAGGGUGCGAGCGUUAAUCGGAAUUACUGGGCGUAAAGCGCACGUAGGCGGCGCACUAAGUUGGAUGUGAAAUCCCCGGGCUUAACUUGGGAAUUGCAUUCAAGACUGGUGUGCUGGAGUGUGGGAGAGAGAAGUGGAAUUCCAGGAGUAGCGGUGAAAUGCGUAGAUACCUGGAGGAACAUCAGUGGCGAAGGCGGCUUCUUGGCCCAACACUGACGCUGAGGUGCGAAAGCGUGGGGAUCAAACAGGAUUAGAUACCCCAGUAGUCC
RNAcentral lists this ribosomal RNA (449 nucleotides) under uncultured bacterium. RNAcentral's name for it is "bacterial SSU rRNA". It matches the Rfam family "Bacterial small subunit ribosomal RNA", at positions 354 to 796 of the family's 1533-position model. The record is from RNAcentral.